CCAAACUUGGUCAUUUAGAGGAAGUAAAAGUCGUAACAAGGUUUCCGUAGGUGAACCUGCGGAAGGAUCAUUAAUGAAAUGCAAGGGUGCUCUUCUUAGACGCCCGACCCAUUCUCAUCUCACACUGUGCAUCAACUGCUUUCACACCAUUAUUUUGACACUACCAGUCUAAAGAAUGUAUAAACAGUUCUCCUUUAACCGGGAGCACAAAAUCAAACACAACUUUCGGCAACGGAUCUCUUGGCUCCCGCAUCGAUGAAGAACGCAGC
Molecule: unclassified non-coding RNA, 269 nt
Filed under: uncultured fungus
Lineage: Eukaryota; Fungi
Description: partial contains small subunit ribosomal RNA, internal transcribed spacer 1, and 5.8S ribosomal RNA
Rfam family: Eukaryotic small subunit ribosomal RNA (bases 1-73)
Source: RNAcentral